AUUGAACGCUGGCGGCAUGCCUUACACAUGCAAGUCGAACGGUAACGCGGGGCAACCUGGCGACGAGUGGCGAACGGGUGAGUAAUGCAUCGGAACGUGCCCAGUAGUGGGGGAUAGCCCGGCGAAAGCCGGAUUAAUACCGCAUACGACCUACGGGUGAAAGCGGGGGACCGUAAGGCCUCGCGCUAUUGGAGCGGCCGAUGUCAGAUUAGCUAGUUGGUGGGGUAAAGGCCUACCAAGGCGACGAUCUGUAGCUGGUCUGAGAGGACGACCAGCCACACUGGGACUGAGACACGGCCCAGACUCCUACGGGAGGCAGCAGUGGGGAAUUUUGGACAAUGGGGGCAACCCUGAUCCAGCCAUGCCGCGUGCGGGAAGAAGGCCUCGGUU
Molecule: ribosomal RNA, 390 nt
Filed under: uncultured bacterium
Lineage: Bacteria
Description: bacterial SSU rRNA
Rfam family: Bacterial small subunit ribosomal RNA
Source: RNAcentral